RNAcentral lists this ribosomal RNA (405 nucleotides) under uncultured bacterium. RNAcentral describes it as "bacterial SSU rRNA". It matches the Rfam family "Bacterial small subunit ribosomal RNA", at positions 355 to 776 of the family's 1533-position model. The record is from RNAcentral.
UGGGGAAUAUUGCACAAUGGGGGAAACCCUGAUGCAGCGACGCCGCGUGAGUGAAGAAGUAAUUCGUUAUGUAAAGCUCUAUCAGCAAGGAAGAAAGAAGACGGUACUUGACUAAGAAGCCCCGGCUAAAUACGUGCCAGCAGCCGCGGUAAUACGUAUGGGGCAAGCGUUAUCCGGAUUUACUGGGUGUAAAGGGAGCGUAGACGGCAUGGCAAGUCUGAUGUGAAAGCCCAGGGCUCAACCCUGGGACUGCAUUGGAAACUGUCUAGCUAGAGUGCGGGAGAGGUAAGUGGAAUUCCUAGUGUAGCGGUGAAAUGCGUAGAUAUUAGGAGGAACACCAGUGGCGAAGGCGGCUUACUGGACUGUAACUGACGUUGAGGCUCGAAAGCGUGGGGAGCAAACAGG